CUGAAUCUCAAUUUGCUAUUUUUUUUUUUUAUUAUUUUAUAAAUAUCACUUAUACAUAUUUUGUCAUUUAAGAAUAUCAGUUCUCAUUAGAAUUAACAUGUAUAACAUUUGUUAGAAUGAUAUUCAUGUGUGAAUAUAUGCCAUUGUUUGUUGGAUAUCUUAAUUUCUCACUUUGCAUAACACAAUAUUAAAUAUUAUAAUACUGUAGGGAAAUAUCCCCUUUAUUUAUGCAAUUUGACUGGUUACCCUGACAGGGGGUUGGGUCUCAUACCCAGAUGUGAACAAAAAUGUGAACAAAAACCAAGAUUACUAUGGUAAUUAAUGCUAAGAGAGCAGGGUACUCCAGUAUAAAAUAAUUAUCAUAUGGAUUUACAUGGAAUAUGGGUUAUAUGCCAUAUAUCCCCUUGGCCUGACAGGGAAUAUAAAACACAGACAGGGAAUAUAACCCCAUGUACCCUAUGCCCUGUGAUGAUAUCACAUAACAUAGUGUCUACAGCUUUUAAAGUUUUAUGUUACAUCUCUGCAUUAUUGAUAUCUCAUACUAGAGGGAAUAAAUUAAAUUAAUUAAUACUAUUUUCCAUUAUGUUAACUUCUUUUUUUAAAUUCAAGAUAUCAUCUUUAUAUAAUGUAACAUCACAUUUGUUUGGAAAAGAUCUCGUCUAGAACCACAUUGAAUCCAUCUAAUACAUGUAUGAAAAGCAAUUAUUCACAAUAGUUUUUUUUAUUUAAUGAAAAGGUACCAUUUUGAAAUCGCUCAUUGCAUGAAAUUCAGAUAGUGUGGUAAUGUUGAGAGAUGAGUGAAGAAAGUGAGAUUGUGUAAAAAUAAACCAUUAAGUUCAAUGUUAAUUAAAUUAUACAAAUCUACCAGUGACCAUGAAUUAAUAAUGGGAACAGCCAUAUUUUAAGUUUUAACCAAAUUUAUGUUUACAUAUUUUUACUGUUUUACAAUUUUGUUUAUUUUUAUACCAAAUAAAUUUGACGAGAAA
RNAcentral lists this long non-coding RNA (986 nucleotides) under Mytilus galloprovincialis (Mediterranean mussel). Lineage: Eukaryota; Metazoa; Mollusca; Bivalvia; Mytilida; Mytilidae. The record is from RNAcentral.